This is a long non-coding RNA of Aplysia californica (California sea hare), 680 nucleotides long. RefSeq lists it as uncharacterized. The record is from RefSeq and is a predicted model, not a curated record. The transcript is spliced from 5 exons. NCBI's taxonomy places the organism in Eukaryota, Metazoa, Mollusca, Gastropoda, Aplysiida, Aplysiidae.
UGGAGGCUUUCUCUCCAACUUGAACAAAAGAACAAGCAGAAAUGACUUUCCCAGUGGGACGAUGCUCUCGAUAUUCUUUUUAAAGCGAUUAUGACCCUCCCUUAAUCGUUGAUGGUCGAGAGUGGCUCAUGUUGUCGUUCUUAAGUCGAAUGUGAGGAAUCUGAAUCCACGUGCCCUCAACAUCAUCCUGAGACUUGCCAUGGAUACGAAAUUUAUUCCUAUGUUCAAUGACUUCGGAGAGAAAGGCAUCAACCUGCCUUUUAGCCAGUUGUUCAACAACGUUAACCUGCAGCCAUUUAAUGGCUGCUUGCUCAUCUCGGCUGACAUCGGCUCUUAAUUGGCCGGGGAAGGGCAAGAAGGGACCACAAGAAUGCCAUGGUCAGCCAACAGUCCCGACUACAACCUCAUUGAAUAAUGUGUGAGGCGAAAUUGGCCGAAGAGUCCAGCAGCACCAGCCACCACCAGCUAACCGAGAAGAGCUGUAAAAGAUCCCAGAAGAAUGAGAAAAUUCUAAAACCAGUGAUAACAUUUAAAACACAAUGCGGCUUUGUCCCUGACAGAUUACUAAUAAUUCUUAGAUCUUUUCCAUCUAUGUCUAUAGCUCUUCCAAUAGAUUAAAUAGCUCAUCAUAUCUAACUUUGUAGAAAGAAUAUGAAUAAUCAAUUAAACAUACAUAAAAA